GAUGAACGCUGGCGGCGUGCCUAAUACAUGCAAGUCGAGCGAACAGACGAGGAGCUUGCUCCUCUGACGUUAGCGGCGGACGGGUGAGUAACACGUGGAUAACCUACCUAUAAGACUGGGAUAACUUCGGGAAACCGGAGCUAAUACCGGAUAAUAUAUUGAACCGCAUGGUUCAAUAGUGAAAGACGGUUUUGCUGUCACUUAUAGAUGGAUCCGCGCCGCAUUAGCUAGUUGGUAAGGUAACGGCUUACCAAGGCGACGAUGCGUAGCCGACCUGAGAGGGGGAUCGGCCACACGGAAACUGAGACACGGCCAAGACCCUAAGGGAGGGAGGCGGUGGGGAAUCUCCGGCAAUGGGCGAAAGCCUGACGGGGAAAGGCGGCGUGGGUAUUAAAGGUCUUCGAAUGGAAAACCUCGGUUAUUGGGGAAAAACAAAGUGUUAGGUACCUAGCACCGUUUUAAGGGUACUUAUCAGGAAGGCAAGGCCUAACACGGG
RNAcentral lists this ribosomal RNA (496 nucleotides) under uncultured bacterium. RNAcentral's name for it is "partial 16S ribosomal RNA". It matches the Rfam family "Bacterial small subunit ribosomal RNA", at positions 28 to 507 of the family's 1533-position model. The record is from RNAcentral.